This 72-nucleotide transfer RNA is filed under the name Ovis aries (sheep). It matches the Rfam family "tRNA". Rfam says of the family: Transfer RNA (tRNA) molecules are approximately 80 nucleotides in length. Their secondary structure includes four short double-helical elements and three loops (D, anti-codon, and T loops). Further hydrogen bonds mediate the characteristic L-shaped molecular structure. tRNAs have two regions of fundamental functional importance: the anti-codon, which is responsible for specific mRNA codon recognition, and the 3' end, to which the tRNAs corresponding amino acid is attached (by aminoacyl-tRNA synthetases). tRNAs cope with the degeneracy of the genetic code in two manners: having more than one tRNA (with a specific anti-codon) for a particular amino acid; and 'wobble' base-pairing, i.e. permitting non-standard base-pairing at the 3rd anti-codon position. Lineage: Eukaryota; Metazoa; Chordata; Mammalia; Artiodactyla; Bovidae. The record is from Rfam by way of RNAcentral.
UCCCUUUUGGCUCAGCUGGUAAAGAAUCUGCCUGCAAUGCGGGAGACCUGGGUUUGAACCCUGGAUUGGGAA